RNAcentral lists this transfer RNA (74 nucleotides) under Desulfovibrio legallii. Its description in RNAcentral is "Desulfovibrio sp. H1 tRNA". It matches the Rfam family "tRNA". From Rfam's summary of the family: Transfer RNA (tRNA) molecules are approximately 80 nucleotides in length. Their secondary structure includes four short double-helical elements and three loops (D, anti-codon, and T loops). Lineage: Bacteria; Pseudomonadati; Thermodesulfobacteriota; Desulfovibrionia; Desulfovibrionales; Desulfovibrionaceae. The record is from Rfam by way of RNAcentral.
GCGCCCGUAGCUCAGUUGGACAGAGCAGAUGCCUUCUAAGCAUCAGGCCGAGGGUUCGAUCCCUUCCGGGCGCG